CCUGAGCUUAGAGUUUGAUCCUGGCUCAGGACGAACGCUAGCGGCGUGCCUAACACAUGCAAGUCGUACGAGCAUUAGCAAUAAUGUUAGUGGCGAACGGGUGCGUAACACGUGGGAAAUCUGCCUGGGAGUGGGGAAUAAACGCUCGAAAGGGCGUCUAAUACCGCAUAAUGCAGCGGCCUCGCAUGAGGAUGUUGUUAAAGUAGCGAUACGCUUCCAGAUGAUCCCGCGCCUGAUUAGCUUGUUGGCGGGGUAACGGCCCACCAAGGCGACGAUCAGUAGCCGAUCUGAGAGGAUGACCGGCCACACUGGGACUGAGAUACGGCCCAGACUCCUACGGGAGGCAGCAGUGAGGAGUAUUGCGCAAUGGACGAAAGUCUGACGCAGCAACGCCGCGUGAGUGAUGAAGGUCUUCGGAUUGUAAAGCUCUGUAGCAGGGGAAGAAUUGCCCGUUGAGGGCGUUGACGGUACCCUGAAAGUAAGCACCGGCUAACUCCGUGCCAGCAGCCGCGGUAAUACGGAGGGUGCAAGCGUUGUCCGGAUUUACUGGGUGUAAAGGGCGUGUAGGCGGAUGUGCAAGUCAUAGGUGAAAGUGGGCGGCUUAACCGUCUCAAGGGCCUAUGAAACUGCAUAUCUUGAGAGUGUCAGGGGGUAUUGGAAUUCCCGGUGUAGCGGUGGAAUGCGUAGAUAUCGGGAGGAACACCAGUGGCGAAGGCGGAUACCUGGGCACAUCUGACGCUGAGACGCGAGAGUGCGGGGAGCAAACAGGCUUAGAUACCCUGGUAGUCCGCACCGUAAACGAUGGGCACUAGUCGUCGGGAGAGGUCCUCUCGGUGACGCAGUUAACACAGUAAGUGCCCCACCUGGGGAGUACGCUCGCAAGGGUGAAACUCAAAGGAAUUGACGGGGGCCCGCACAAGCGGUGGAGCAUGUGGUUUAAUUCGAUGCAACGCGAAGAACCUUACCUGGGCUCGAAGUGCGCUUUGUCUGCGGUGAGAGCCGCAUAGGUAGCAAUACCGGGGCGCAUAGGUGCUGCAUGGCUGUCGUCAGCUCGUGUCGUGAGAUGUUAGGUUAAGUCCUGCAACGAGCGCAACCCUCGCCCAUAGUUACCAGCGGUUAAAGCCGGGCACUCUAUGGGGACUGCCUCCGUAAAGGAGGAGGAAGGUGGGGAUGACGUCAAGUCCUCAUGGCCCUUAUGUCCAGGGCUACACACGUGCUACAAUGGAUCGCACAGAGGGUAGCAAGACCGCGAGGUGGAGCCAAUCCUUAAAACGGUCCUCAGUUCAGAUUGCACUCUGCAACUCGAGUGCAUGAAGUCGGAAUCGCUAGUAAUCGCUAAUCAGCAGGUAGCGGUGAAUACGUUCCCGGGCCUUGUACACACCGCCCGUCAAACCAUGGGAGUUGGUAGUACCCGAAGCCGCCGAGCUAACCGAAAGGAGGCAGGCGUCUAAGGUAAGACUGAUGACUGGGGUUAAGUCGUAACAAGGUAACC
This 1492-nucleotide ribosomal RNA is filed under the name uncultured bacterium. RNAcentral describes it as "16S ribosomal RNA". It matches the Rfam family "Bacterial small subunit ribosomal RNA". The record is from RNAcentral.